This 309-nucleotide ribosomal RNA is filed under the name uncultured bacterium. Its description in RNAcentral is "partial 16S ribosomal RNA". It matches the Rfam family "Bacterial small subunit ribosomal RNA", at positions 504 to 807 of the family's 1533-position model. The record is from RNAcentral.
AGAGACAGCAGUAGCCGCGGGAAUACGUAGGGUGCAAGCGUUAAUCGGAAUUACUGGGCGUAAAGCGUGCGCAGGCGGUUUGUUAAGACAGAUGUGAAAUCCCCGGGCUCAACCUGGGAACUGCAUUUGUGACUGGCAGGCUAGAGUAUGGCAGAGGGGGGUGGAAUUCCGCGUGUAGCAGUGAAAUGCGUAGAUAUGCGGAGGAACACCGAUGGCGAAGGCAGCCCCCUGGGAUAAUACUGACGCUCAUGCACGAAAGCGUGGGGAGCAAACAGGAUUAGAUACCCCUGUAGUCCCUGUCUCUUAUAC